This 1193-nucleotide ribosomal RNA is filed under the name metagenome. RNAcentral describes it as "bacterial SSU rRNA". It matches the Rfam family "Bacterial small subunit ribosomal RNA", at positions 310 to 1520 of the family's 1533-position model. The record is from RNAcentral.
ACACUGGCACUGAAACACGGGCCAGACUCCUACGGGAGGCAGCAGUGGGGAAUCUUGCACAAUGGGGGAAACCCUGAUGCAGCGACGCCGCGUGAGCGAUGAAGCCCUUCGGGGUGUAAAGCUCUUUCGGCAGGGAAGAUGAUGACGGUACCUGCAGAAGCAGCUGCGGCUAACUACGUGCCAGCAGCCGCGGUAAUACGUAGGCAGCAAGCGUUGUUCGGAGUUACUGGGCGUAAAGGGUGUGUAGGCGGUUCCUUAAGUUUGGUGUGAAAUCUCCCGGCUCAACCGGGAGGGUGCGCCGAAUACUGAGGAGCUAGAGUGCGGGAGAGGAGAGUGGAAUUCCUGGUGUAGCGGUGAAAUGCGUAGAUAUCAGGAGGAACACCGGUGGUGCAAACGGCUCUCUGGACCGUAACUGACGCUGAAACACGAAAGCGUGGGUAGCAAACAGGAUUAGAUACCCUGGUAGUCCACGCCCUAAACGAUGCAUAUUUGGUGUGGGUCAUUCAGUUGAUCCGUGCCGGAGCUAACGCGUUAAAUAUGCCGCCUGGGGAGUACAGUCGCAAGGCUGAAACUCAAAGGAAUUGACGGGGGCCCGCACAAGCGGUGGAGCAUGUGGUUCAAUUCGACGCAACGCGAAGAACCUUACCUGGGCUCGAACGGCUGGUCAACGACCUUGGAAACAGGGUUACUCCGCAAGGGGGUCCAGUCGAGGUGCUGCAUGGCUGUCGUCAGCUCGUGUCGUGAGAUGUUGGGUUAAGUCCCGCAACGAGCGCAACCCUCGUCCUGUGUUGCCAUGGCGCAAGCCGGAACUCGCAGGAGACCGCCAGCGAUAAGUUGGAGGAAGGUGGGGAUGACGUCAAGUCCUCAUGGCCUUUAUGUCCAGGGCUACACACGUGCUACAAUGGCCGGUACAAUACGCUGCUAACCUGCGAAGGGGAGCCAAUCGCCAAAAACCGGUCUCAGUUCGGGUUGCAGGCUGCAACUCGCCUGCAUGAAGCUGGAAUCGCUAGUAAUGGCAGAUCAGCACGCUGCCGUGAAUACGUUCCCGGGCCUUGUACACACCGCCCGUCACAUCACGAAAGUGGAUUGUACUAGAAGUCUGCAGGCCGACCCGCAAGGGGGGCAGCGGCCCAAGGUAUGAUCCAUGAUUGGGGUGAAGUCGAACAAGGUAGCCGUAGGAGAACCUGCGGCUG